RNAcentral lists this long non-coding RNA (570 nucleotides) under Bos taurus (domestic cattle). RNAcentral describes it as "long non-coding RNA NONBTAT018277". Lineage: Eukaryota; Metazoa; Chordata; Mammalia; Artiodactyla; Bovidae. The record is from RNAcentral.
GCAUGAAAUAAACCAGAACUUACUAUUUUACAUUUCUUUGGCCCUUCAGAAGCAAAAUAAAUCUCUUCAUGUUAUUUACCUUAACUAAAGCAUGUACUUCAAGACAUAUCUUCAGUUAAAUGUUUUUAAUCAUUACUUUUGGUUUUUAGUGCUCAUACUUUUAUAGGGAAGAAACUAUCAAAGUAUCGCUCAAUACAAUGUUCCCAAAGUAUAUUUGUUUGGAAGAAUGUUUUCAUUUCUGAGACUUUUAUAUGACAUCUUAAGUCAGUGUGACCAACAGUUUGGAAUUCUGUAUUCAAGAUACAGUUGAUAGACCAUCACAAUACUGUGUCUGAGAUGUAUGCAAAGCAGUUGUCUGUCUAAAAAUAUAGUUUUAACUCUUUGGUAAUUAAAAGCUUGUGUUUAUGAAUUUUAUAUCCUAAUAUGAUAGUUUUUUUUACUUCUAAUGGAUUUUUUCCUAUUUUAGUAUAUCUUAAAAUAUUUAGGGGUUUUAGAUUGACAUGUGACACAUAAUAUUUUCAUAAUAAUUGGAAAUUGACUUUCAAAUAGCAUUUUUGCUUAAACAUCUAG